This 292-nucleotide ribosomal RNA is filed under the name uncultured bacterium. RNAcentral describes it as "partial 16S ribosomal RNA". The record is from RNAcentral. RNAcentral also lists the same sequence under 1 other name.
GGACUACAGGGGUAUCUAAUCCCGUUUGCUCCCCUGGCUUUCGCGCCUCAGCGUCAGUAGAGAUCCAGCGCGUCGCUUUCGCCACCGGCGUUCCUUCUGAUAUCUACGCAUUUCACCGCUCCACCAGAAGUUCCACGCGCCCCUACCUCCCUCUAGCCGGCCAGUAUCAGGGGCCAUUUUCCGGUUGAGCCGAAAGAUUUCACCCCUGACUUGGCAAGCCGCCUACGCGCCCUUUAAGCCCAGUGAAUCCGAACAACGUUUGCACGGUUCGUCUUACCGCGGCUGCUGGCAC